GUCCCUUGGGGAGAUCCGAUAAAACAGGAAUGAUACAGAAAAGAUUAGCAUGGCUCCUGUGCAAGGAUGACACGCACAAAUCGAGAAUUGGUCUAAGAAAAAAUUU
Brassica rapa (field mustard) is the source of this 106-nucleotide non-coding RNA. The record is from Rfam. NCBI's taxonomy places the organism in Eukaryota, Viridiplantae, Streptophyta, Magnoliopsida, Brassicales, Brassicaceae.